UACGAAGGGGGCUAGCGUUGCUCGGAAUCACUGGGCGUAAAGGGUGCGUAGGCGGGUCUUUUAAGUCAGGGGUGAAAUCCUGGAGCUCAACUCCAGAACUGCCUUUGAUACUGAAGAUCUUGAGUUCGGGAGAGGUGAGUGGAACUGCGAGUGUAGAGGUGAAAUUCGUAGAUAUUCGCAAGAACACCAGUGGCGAAGGCGGCUCACUGGCCCGAUACUGACGCUGAGGCACGAAAGCGUGGGGAGCAAGCAGG
Molecule: ribosomal RNA, 254 nt
Filed under: uncultured bacterium
Lineage: Bacteria
Description: partial 16S ribosomal RNA
Rfam family: Bacterial small subunit ribosomal RNA
Source: RNAcentral